GUCCACGCCGUAAACGAUGGGUGCUAGACGUUGGCGAGCUUGCUCGUCAGUGUCGCAGCUAACGCGUUAAGCACCCCGCCUGGGGAGUACGGCCGCAAGGUUGAAACUCAAAGGAAUUGACGGGGGCCCGCACAAGCGGUGGAGCAUGUGGUUCAAUUCGACGCAACGCGAAGAACCUUACCAGCCCUUGACUUGUGGCUCGCCGGCUCCAGAGACUGAGCCUUCGGUUCGGCCGGAGCCAACACAGGUGCUGCAUGGCUGUCGU
This 265-nucleotide ribosomal RNA is filed under the name uncultured bacterium. RNAcentral's name for it is "partial 16S ribosomal RNA". It matches the Rfam family "Bacterial small subunit ribosomal RNA", at positions 793 to 1055 of the family's 1533-position model. The record is from RNAcentral.